AUACGAUGCCGCAUACAAUGUGACUUUGGCGCGGGGAGGGGGGAGCCGCAGCCGGGGAGAUGAGUGACCGGCCGCAGCCGUCUCCCCGGGGAGGGCAGCCCAGGAAGAGGACCUGACAGCGUACAUGGCGGCGGGCGGUGUGUAGCCCCCUCCCGCUGGGCAGGUACCGCAAUGUCACAGGGAACAUGGCUGCUCGGACUUACAGCGCGGGGUGAGCGCAGUUACCGCAGCCUCCCUGAUGUGUGCACAGCGGGGUGAGGAGGACGCGGCUCCGUCCCGGGAGUGAACAGCAGCCUAUGGAGCAGAACCGGAGAGGCCGGGGUUAUAACCGGCAGAAGACUGCGGCAGUUAUCCCCGUCAAUUACCCUCACAGGCGGCUCCAGGUUUUCCUGGCAAGAGCCAAACAACAAAGCUGGACAUUCCUUUGGAAAUGCAAAAGUGGCACCUUAUGAGCGAUGAAACAGAGUAAAAUGUCUUCAGAGUCUUUGGAGAUGUAUCCUGAGGGUCCUCUUAUCAUGGAACACAACAUGGUGACCUUUUACAUCCAUUUGAUGAAGAGCUUUCACAUAGCUAAUUGCUCAGGCAUCGUAAGGCAGAAUGCUCCCGAUAUGUCUCCACCAUGUAGGCUUAUAUAACUGGGCCAGGGGUCUUCAUUCCUCCGAGAGUCUUCGGAUGGGUAACACACGGCUUUACAAGACUGCUGAUGGACAGAAUCCUUGUACCUUAGGCCUUGGAUAGACCUCAACUCUGGAGAUGGAAUGAUGCAUUGUUAUAUAGCAAUGAUAUAUUUGUCUACAGCUCUGGGAUCAUCUGACCACGCUGAGGACCUGUAGCUAAGGUAAUAAUCGGACUCUUCAGAUGGAUCUGAUGUGUUUACAUGGUCCACUUUCCAUGUGGAUGGGACGGAUGCAUCCUGAGCUGUAACAUAGAAGACCAAAGUUGAAUGACUGGGUGUCUAUUUUUUACCAUGGGACAUCUCUUGCGUCUCACUGUCACGUAGGUUCUUCAGUUGUAUGGCAAUGUUAAUCUUUCACGGCCUUCUCACUUCAUUUCUUUCUGUAGCAAUUAACAAAUAGUAAUGAAUUUGCAGGAAAAUGCAAAACUUUUACACGUAGAGGCAAAGCAAGUCCGUCAUUUACCUCAAACUUGGUGCCAGGUAAACCAAGCUGGUGGCCGAUAGGCAUACGCCGAGCGAUGUCGUCCGUAGGUUUGCAAUAAAUGCAAUAAUGUUGAUUUCACUUAAUUCUCAGGUUUUCCACCAGGAUUUUUUUUUAUUUUUUUUUAGAAUACACAUUGACUGGUGGAGUCUGACCCUUUACUGUUCAGAAAAUGAGUAGUCCUAAUGAUUAGCUUGUAGGACAUUUCUUAGGGUGAGAUGAAAAAAAUAUUUUGGUUCUUCAAAUUACUUCUCCAUCUGUAGUUGAGAAGGAGGGGAUAUGACUUGCUGUAGACUAGCGACCUGUAUAACUAAGGAAUUCUUUUCCAUGAGAUACGGUAAUUCUGAUGUUUUCUACCAGAGGAUGUCCUCUAUACUGGGCCAUAAUGAUAAGAGAUGGGAUUGUUCUGAUGCCCCUGCACAACAGCGACCAUAUAAAUAAAGUGUAAGACUAGUUAUUUUAAAUUUGGCCAUCUCCUUCAGUCCUCCUGCUAAUUCCAUUACAUUCACCUUAUAACCUAAAAGAUGCAAGAACUUUAGUUUAAAUGUCGAUGGAAAUGUUCUUCAUCUUGCCAAUGACGUUCUUCACAACCCUUAAACUGGUGAAGACGGCUGUCCUAUUCAUACAGUCUUCAGUAGUGCACCAGGUCCAUAAACAUAUGAGCUGUUACGCCAAAACAUCAAUUUGAAGGGGUUGUCUGAGUUAGAAAACACAUUUUUGAAAACGAAGAGAGGGUAUGGGAGUCUUGAAGAACAAAUUCAUAGAACAACUCUCUGGAGGAACCAGCCUAUCUGAACGUUUCCGAGACAGCCCAUUCUUUUUCUUUUUUUUUUUCACGGGAACCGUGUAAUGCUUCAUUUAUCCUGUAGAGGUGCUGCAGGGAAGUCAUACAUUUGCCACCGCUCGGCUGAUCAUAGGUCGUCUCGGAAAAAGGACGCCCCCUGAUCAGCCGAUCAUUGUCCAAAAAGCCCUUCAAGUAUAAAUAUGGCUGGCGACGACCAGAAAGAUUUCAUGUUUCUUAUAUAUUUUGCACACUUAUUUUUUUUUUCUGCUUUGUCAUUCCUGUACUAGUAACAAGUUGUAAUGAAAUAAUGGGACAAGUGCAAUAUUAGUGUAUGUAUUAUAUAUUUUACUACUUGUGGACAAAAUGAUGUUGUCUGAGAACAACAAAAUCACCAAUGUCUUCCAUUUUUUGAUAUGUGUAUAGUUCCAUACGUAGCUAAUUGUAGUGCCGCUGUAAGGCCAGUGCAUGAUAUAUUGAUGUCUAUGUAUCUGAAGUAUAUAUGUAUAACCUGAAACUAAAGGCGCAGAAGUCCAUAUAUAGCAUGCUUAUUGGUUUCUCUCCACUAGAAGUAGGUCAGAUUUGGCUCCUGGUGGUGUGUCUUCAAGCCAUGUUCUGGCGUCUCCUUUCCAUAAUUGGGUCCAGGAUUUUGGUCAUGCAAUUGAAAUUUCAUAUUGUUUGAAAACUGCAGGUCCCUUUUUAGUGUGUUCUGCAUGCAUUUAUAUGCUCCGUUGCCUGGCAACCCCAAGACUUCCUGUCUGGGUGACCACCUUUUUCUUCCACACACUGUAGCGGUUGUAGGUAGUUCUGUUUGCCAUAACCAUACGGUGCAGCCAACGUGAAGAGACGCAACAGGAAAUCAAGACUAAGAUCUAUGUUGUUCUUUCUUGUAUGAUAUGUGCCAUCUAGUUUACGGAACGGGUGGAAUUGGGGAGUCUAUAUGUGGCGGGCAGAGGUACACUUUUUAAUACUGUCUUGUAAAAUAAUUGUGUUUUUAACUGAAUAAGAGUGUUGAUCCCCGGGUAACUUCUUCUUGGGGGAAAUGGAAAGAAAGGGGUUUCAUUUAAGAGUUAGAUGAUGACUAGAAAUAAUUUGUCGGGCCAAGCACAAGCAGGCUUUACAUAGACGGCUCAUCGAUUUAGUGGGCUUCGUGUAAUGCUUCUUUUCUCCUUCGGUGGCGCUGUAGGGAAAUGUAGCAGUUUUGUUAAAUUGCCAAGAAGUUCAACAAUGGAGCAGCUUUUGAUGAGCUUAUUAUCAGGCGAUCCUUCUAUUGACCUGGGAUUGUCCUAAGCAGUUGCACUAAGUUGUAUUUUUGGCAUGUGAUAUUAGGUAGGUGAACAUACUGUUUACUAUCACUACCUAUUGGCUAUUAGAAGUCAAGAACAUGAGAAAUGUGAUGUACAUCAGACUAUGCAUACGUGAAGGCUCCCUGUUGAUCCUAGACCUUAUUGCUGUUCGACUGAAUUAAGACGCUAGCUUGGUUGACUGAAUUACUAAAUCAGAUUUGGAUGAUCAUUCAAACCAUAAGGCUCCAAAUUAUGCUGCAUGAACUGUAGAGGUGGUCCUGGCAAGUACUGACUAGGGGAACUGGCUCUUGGAUGCAUAUACUGUACCCUGGAGAGAUGAUCAUCUGAGGUUACGACUAGGAGGACUGGCUCUUGGAUGCAUCUACUGUACAUUGGAGAGGUGGUCCUCCCAGGUGGUGACUGGCUCUUGGAUGCUUCUACUGUACAUUGGAGAGGUGGUCCUCCCAGGUAGUGACUGGCUCUUGGAUGCAUCUACUGUACAUUAGAGAGGUGGUCCUACCAGGUGGUGACUGGCUCUUGGAUGCAUCUACUGUACAUUGGAGAGGUGGUCCUCCCAGGUGGUGACUGGCUCUUGGAUGCAUCUACUGUACAUUGGAGAGGUGGUCCUCCCAGGUGGUGACUGGCUCUUGGAUGCUUCUACUGUACAUUGGAGAGGUGGUUCUCCCACGUAGCAUAUGUGUGUGAAAGCCAAAGAAUAUCUUAGUCUAUUGCCAACUCCUUAGCCUGCCACUGAUCUCAUGAUAAUCCAGGAAUUCUAAUGAUUGUUUGAUGGCCAAGAAUUCUGUGGGGGUUAUACUCCACAUGACACAGGCUGUACAUUACUUCUGCCCACAGUUGUGAUGCCAGACUGAAUCCUAUAGAGCCUCUAAUAGAUGUUAUUUCUGUAAUUGAUAAGAUCCAUGAGCUGGAGAGACAUCUUCAGAACAGGUAGGAAUAAGUUUCUACCUACCAGACAGCUAGUCUCAAGAACGUCCUCGCUGCGAUAAGUUCUAGGAUUAUUGAUGGGGGCAGAUUCAGACCUCCUAGGCACUGUCCAUGUGUAAUAGUGUAGAAAUAAGCAGUGAAAUACCAAAUAUGUGACCUAAUACUUAUAUAUGUGAAGUCGCACAAGUCACCAUGUCUAUUACAAUGGCACAGAUACAGAAGAGGACCGAAGGAUAAAACAUUUCGAUGUACUGCAUGGUAUGACGGUCAUCAAGAGUCCCUCCUUGGCCCCAGUCUCCAUAUUGUAGCCAACAUUCAUGGGUGGGAUACAUGUAAAAUAAAAGACCUUGCAGGGGUGAAUGUGUAGACAUACACUGAUUUCUGUCGGGGGUCCGACCGAACGGGGAACUCAUCCAUGACCGCUGCUCCAUUCAGUGCUAGGCUGUCUGUCAGCCCAUAGAUGUGAAUGGGUUGGUGGUCAUGGAAGACCCUUAUACUCUUGCAUGGUUAGGGCUAUGUAUUAUACUACAACUUGCAUGUCUGAUUCCUUACCGUGACCUCAUAGAAGGGACUAGGUUCCUGCAGCAUGCGAAGGAGCAUAACCCUGCCAUUCUUUGCAGUGGAACCUAAUAUUAUAUAUUCCAAAUAUCUCUAAAAAUAUUCCAUUUAUUUUUACAGGAACGCAUGCUUCUUUUAAGAUAAGGGAUGUAUAUAGCAUGAGGCAUACUGUGUUGUGGGGGCCGGCGGAGAGCCUUCUAUGGCUCGCCGUGUAAAUAUGAAACCUCAAGGUGGUCGGCGGUGUAAAAACUAUAUGUGAUUGUAUCCUCCAGGUAUUCACGUCAUUAUAAUCUACUCCAAUGGAGGAAGCAAUAAGAAGCGAACUUUGCUUGCAGUAGCGUACACUAUGAAAUACCUCUGACGCAGUAAUGCACACUCGCGCAGUAUGUAGCUGUCGCCGCAGACAAAGCCAUACGACGAGUUAGGUGUUUAGCAGCAAUAACUGUCUUGCAUGGUACAGUACAGGGCUGGCGGACCAGUUCCACAUAGCGGUGUGCAUGUAUCCUCACCUUUUCCUUGUUUUACCCAGUUUUUUCUGGAAGUGGUUGUUGGCCAGAGGACGUGUGAACUAUUAUUAUUAUAUAUAUAUUUUUUUUCUUAUAUGUAUUUACUUUUGCUUCCUUUUUAUCCAAUAUAUUGUCUACUUUUUGUGUUACUGGACAUAGAACUGAAUAAAGUUGAGGUAUUGCUAUUA
Molecule: long non-coding RNA, 5421 nt
Organism: Bufo gargarizans (Asiatic toad)
Lineage: Eukaryota; Metazoa; Chordata; Amphibia; Anura; Bufonidae
Exons: 2
Source: RefSeq, a predicted model, not a curated record